RNAcentral lists this ribosomal RNA (584 nucleotides) under Scinax fuscovarius (snouted treefrog). Its description in RNAcentral is "partial 16S ribosomal RNA". It matches the Rfam family "Bacterial large subunit ribosomal RNA", at positions 1834 to 2620 of the family's 2925-position model. The record is from RNAcentral. Lineage: Eukaryota; Metazoa; Chordata; Amphibia; Anura; Hylidae.
CGUUAUAAUUAAGAAGGGUCCAGGCCUGCCCAGUGACAAAUGUUCAACGGCCGCGGUAUCCUAACCGUGCGAAGGUAGCGUAAUCACUUGUUCUUUAAAUGAGGACUAGUAUGAAUGGCACCACGAGGGUUGCACUGUCUCCUUUCCCUAAUCAAUGAAACUAAUCUCCCCGUGAAGAAGCGGGGGUACUAAUAUAAGACGAGAAGACCCUAUGGAGCUUUAAAUUUCUCUUCAAACGCCAGACACAAACAUCUGACACUUUACAUUAACCCGACGCCUUGAAGAUGAAUUUUAGGUUGGGGUGACCAUGGAGAACAAAAUAACCUCCACGCUGAAAAGGCCUCCAAACCUUGAGCCGAGGGCUACAACCCAACGCACUAAAAAAUUAACACCCAUUGACCCAAUAUUUUUGAUCAACGAACCAAGUUACCCUAGGGAUAACAGCGCAAUCUACUUCAAGAGUCCCUAUCGACAAGUGGGUUUACGACCUCGAUGUUGGAUCAGGGUAUCCCAGUGGUGCAGCCGCUACUAAAGGUUCGUUUGUUCAACGAUUAAAACCCUACGUGAUCUGAUUCCAGACCAGA